RNAcentral lists this long non-coding RNA (421 nucleotides) under Suricata suricatta (meerkat). Its description in RNAcentral is "lncRNA (ENSSSUG00005007542.1)". The record is from RNAcentral. Lineage: Eukaryota; Metazoa; Chordata; Mammalia; Carnivora; Herpestidae.
GUGAAUUAUGGCACCAGGGUCCACAGCGCAGACACAAAUCAUGGGCCGUUAGGAACAGGGGAAAGGCAACGCCUGCCCUACUCCCCCAGCAGGAUUUAUGGGGUCCGGGCCUGGGUCUGGGUUCAAGAUGAUUGGACUUCACCAUGUUUCACUUCCCCAGAACGUUCCUGGUGGAAAGCUUGUCGCCUAGGAUUGUGCAUGUGUGAGCAUGCGUGUGUAUUUGCCACUACACGUGACUUGCUGUGGCUGUGUAGGCAGGCCUCCACCAGUGCCACAGAGAUGGUUGCAAGACAGAGCUGCCAGAAGUUGUUGCAAGAGCUCCCUAUUGGGGAGACCAAAUCUAGGAACCAGUUAUUUGAGAUGAGGCCCUGUGUCCCAGAGGAAUCAUCAGACAGGUCAAACUACUAAUUAAAGACUCAUU